Molecule: ribosomal RNA, 497 nt
Filed under: uncultured bacterium
Lineage: Bacteria
Description: partial 16S ribosomal RNA
Rfam family: Bacterial small subunit ribosomal RNA
Source: RNAcentral
GAUGAACGCUGGCGGCGUGCCUAAUACAUGCAAGUAGAGCGAACGGACUAGAAGCUUGCUUCUCUGAUGUUAGCGGCGGACGUGUGAGUAACACGUGGAUAACCUGCCUAUAAGACUGGGAUAACUUCGGGAAACCGGAGCUAAUACCGGAUAAUAUUUUGAACUUCAUGGUUCAAAAGUGAAAGACGGUCUUGCUGUCACUUAUAGAUGGAUCCGCGCUGCAUUAGCUAGUUGGUAAGGUAACGGCUUACCAAGGCAACGAUGCAUAGCCGACCUGAGAGGGUGAUCGGCCACACUGGAACUGAGACACGGUCAAGACUCCUACGGGAGGCAGCAGUAGGGAAUCUUCCGAAAGGGGCGAAAGCCUGACGGGGCAACGCCGCGUGAGUGAGGAGGGUCUUCGGAUCUUAAGACUCUGUUAUUAGGAAAAAACAUAUGUGGAAGUAACUGUGCACAUCGUGACGGUACCUAAUCAGAAAGCCACGGCUAACUACGUG